GCGAGCGUUGUCCGGAAUUACUGGGCGUAAAGAGCUCGUAGGUGGUUUGUCGCGUUGUUCGUGAAAACUCACAGCUUAACUGUGGGCGUGCGGGCGAUACGGGCAGACUGGAGUACUGCAGGGGAGACUGGAAUUCCUGGUGUAGCGGUGGAAUGCGCAGAUAUCAGGAGGAACACCGGUGGCGAAGGCGGGUCUCUGGGCAGUAACUGACGCUGAGGAGCGAAAGCGUGGGGAGCGAACGGG
This 243-nucleotide ribosomal RNA is filed under the name uncultured bacterium. RNAcentral's name for it is "partial 16S ribosomal RNA". It matches the Rfam family "Bacterial small subunit ribosomal RNA", at positions 534 to 776 of the family's 1533-position model. The record is from RNAcentral.